GACGAACGCUGGCGGCGUGCCUAAUACAUGCAAGUCGAGCGGACUUUCAAGAAGCUUGCUUUUUGAAAGUUAGCGGCGGACGGGUGAGUAACACGUGGGCAACCUGCCUGCAAGACGGGGAUAACUCCGGGAAACCGGGGCUAAUACCGGAUAAUAUCUUCCUUCGCAUGAAGGAAGGUUGAAAGGCGGCGCAAGCUGCCGCUUGCAGAUGGGCCCGCGGCGCAUUAGCUAGUUGGUGAGGUAACGGCUCACCAAGGCGACGAUGCGUAGCCGACCUGAGAGGGUGAUCGGCCACACUGGGACUGAGACACGGCCCAGACUCCUACGGGAGGCAGCAGUAGGGAAUCUUCCGCAAUGGACGAAAGUCUGACGGAGCAACGCCGCGUGAGCGAAGAAGGUCUUCGGAUCGUAAAGAUCUGUUGUCAGGGAAGAACAAGUACCGUUCGAACAGGGCGGUACCUUGACGGUACCUGACCAGAAAGCCACGGCUAACUACGUG
RNAcentral lists this ribosomal RNA (499 nucleotides) under uncultured bacterium. Its description in RNAcentral is "partial 16S ribosomal RNA". It matches the Rfam family "Bacterial small subunit ribosomal RNA", at positions 28 to 507 of the family's 1533-position model. The record is from RNAcentral.